GGCGGGUAGCUCAGCUGGGAGAGCAUCAGGCUGGCAGUCUGAGGGUCGUGGGUUCGAUCCCCAUCCCGUCCACCA
RNAcentral lists this transfer RNA (75 nucleotides) under bacterium. RNAcentral's name for it is "tRNA-Ala". It matches the Rfam family "tRNA". From Rfam's summary of the family: Transfer RNA (tRNA) molecules are approximately 80 nucleotides in length. The record is from RNAcentral.